RNAcentral lists this unclassified non-coding RNA (369 nucleotides) under soil metagenome. RNAcentral's name for it is "partial contains 5.8S ribosomal RNA, internal transcribed spacer 2, and large subunit ribosomal RNA". The stretch from base 1 to 121 matches the Rfam family "5.8S ribosomal RNA", at positions 35 to 154 of the family's 154-position model. The record is from RNAcentral.
GAUGAAGAACGUAGCGAAAUGCGAUACGUAAUGCGAAUUGCAGAAUUCCAGUGAGUCAUCGAAUCUUUGAACGCACAUUGCGCCCUUUGGUAUUCCGAAGGGCAUGCCUGUUCGAGCGUCAUUAUCACCCCUCAAGCCCCCGGCUUGGUGUUGGACGGUCGGUAGGACGUAUUCCUAUGUCCCACCCCUCCCAAAGACAAUGACGGCGGCCUCGUUGGACCCCCGGUACACUGAGUUCUUCACGGAGCACGUACUGGACAAGGGCUCGCGGGGCACGGUCUGCCUCCCCUUAGGGAGAAUUUUUAACAAGGUUGACCUCGGAUCAGGUAGGAAUACCCGCUGAACUUAAGCAUAUCAAUAAGCGGAGGA